RNAcentral lists this ribosomal RNA (489 nucleotides) under uncultured bacterium. RNAcentral describes it as "partial 16S ribosomal RNA". It matches the Rfam family "Bacterial small subunit ribosomal RNA", at positions 29 to 507 of the family's 1533-position model. The record is from RNAcentral.
AACGAACGCUGGCGGCAUGCCUAACACAUGCAAGUCGAACGGCAGCUCCAGACAGCUUGGCCCCUGGGUGGCGAGUGGCGGGCGAGUGACCCAUGCAUCGGAAACUGCCCAUUGGUGUGGGAUCACAUCGGGGAACCGGGACUAAUACCGAAUACUACCUGCGGGGGAAAGCAGGCGAGCAUGGUACGGUGGGCGGAUGGGUAAGCGGAUGCCGUGUCGGCGAGUUGCGGGGUAAAGGCCCACCAAGGCAACGAUCCGUAGCUGGUCUGAGGGGGUGAUCAGCCACACUGGGACUGAGACACGGCCCAGACUCUUACGGGAGGCAGCGGUGGGGAAUAUUGGACGAUGGGGGCAUGCCUGAUCCAGCCAUGCCGCGUGUGGGAAGAAGGCCUUCGGGUUGUAAAGCACUUUUGUUGUGAAAGAAGAGCAGCCGGUUUAUACCCGGUGAUCAUGACGGUACCCAAAGAAUAAGCACCGGCUAACUUCGUG